RNAcentral lists this ribosomal RNA (254 nucleotides) under uncultured bacterium. Its description in RNAcentral is "partial 16S ribosomal RNA". It matches the Rfam family "Bacterial small subunit ribosomal RNA", at positions 524 to 776 of the family's 1533-position model. The record is from RNAcentral.
UACGAAGGGGGCUAGCGUUGUUCGGAUUUACUGGGCGUAAAGCGCACGUAGGCGGAUCUUUAAGUCAGAGGUGAAAUCCCAAGGCUCAACCUUGGAACUGCCUUUGAUACUGGGGAUCUCGAGUCCGGGAGAGGUGAGUGGAACUGCGAGUGUAGAGGUGAAAAUUCGUAGAUAUUCGCAAGAACACCAGUGGCGAAGGCGGCUCACUGGCCCGGUACUGACGCUGAGGUGCGAAAGCGUGGGGAGCAAACAGG